GGUGAAGAACGUAGCGAAAUGCGAUAAGUAAUGUGAAUUGCAGAAUUCAGUGAAUCAUCGAAUCUUUGAACGCACAUUGCGCCCGCCAGUAUUCUGGCGGGCAUGCCUGUUCGAGCGUCAUUACAACCCUCAGGCCCCCGGGCCUGGCGUUGGGGAUCGGCGGAGCCCCCCGUGGGCACACGCCGUCCCCCAAAUGCAGUGGCGGUCCCGCCGCAGCUUCCAUCGCGUAGUAGCUAACACCUCGCGACUGGAGAGCGGCGCGGCCACGCCGUAAAACACCCAACUCUUCUGAAGUUGACCUCGAAUCAGGUAGGAAUACCCGCUGAACUUAAGCAUAUCAAUAAGCGGAGGA
This 352-nucleotide unclassified non-coding RNA is filed under the name soil metagenome. Its description in RNAcentral is "partial contains 5.8S ribosomal RNA, internal transcribed spacer 2, and large subunit ribosomal RNA". The stretch from base 3 to 120 matches the Rfam family "5.8S ribosomal RNA", at positions 37 to 154 of the family's 154-position model. The record is from RNAcentral.